Molecule: ribosomal RNA, 449 nt
Filed under: uncultured bacterium
Lineage: Bacteria
Description: partial 16S ribosomal RNA
Rfam family: Bacterial small subunit ribosomal RNA
Source: RNAcentral
AACGAACGCCGGCGGCAUGCCUAACACAUGCAAGUCGAACGAAGCCUUCGGGCUUAGUGGCGCACGGGCGCGUAACGCGUGGGAAUCUGCCCUUUGGUUCGGAAUAACAGUUGGAAACGACUGCUAAUACCGGAUGAUGACGAAAGUCCAAAGAUUUAUCGCCAGAGGAUGAGCCCGCGUAGGAUUAGCUAGUUGGUGUGGUAAAGGCGCACCAAGGCGACGAUCCUUAGCUGGUCUGAGAGGAUGAUCAGCCACACUGGGACUGAGACACGGCCCAGACUCCUACAGGAGGCAGCAGUGGGGAAUAUUGGACAAUGGGCGAAAGCCUGAUCCAGCAAUGCCGCGUGAGUGAUGAAGGCCCUAGGGUUGUAAAGCUCUUUUACCCGGGAUGAUAAUGACAGUACCGGGAGAAUAAGCCCCGGCUAACUCCGUGCCAGCAGCCGCCGUAA